UACAGUGUGAUGGUAAGUAAUAAACUCCACUGGUGUUCGAGUCAGUGUUGCAAAUUUUCUCAGCGAGGUUUAAAAAAAAAUAAAAAUAUGAUUAAAACUGCAGAUUAGCUUUUUUCAUUUGAUUUUUUUUAAAAUCAAUUGAGUUCUGCAUUUAUAAAUGUUAGUGAAGAAAUAUUUACAUCUCGCUCUUUUAAACCAAGGCGGAAACAGUGGCAGCUUUGCACAUGCGCAUUUAAUUCGCAGUCUGGUGUGGAUCUCCUCUCUGCACUGACAUGAUGAGCCAGCUACCAAAAUGUUGAACUUUUGUCACAGGGACACACACACACUCAGACGCUUUCGAGGUGUAUGAAUGUGUGUCAGUGUGCAGACCCUACAUCAUCAUCAUCAUCAUCAUCAUCAUCAUCAUCAUAUCGCCAUUUCGGAUGAUACGACAUCCUGCAGCUGUGACCUCCGUCGCUUUGCUCCCUUUUCAGGAUGAGGCUCGGAUGAAGGGACACAGCGGGUGAAUCAUUCACCGCCAUAAACUUUCGCUUACUUCUUAUGAAAUCAGUCGAGAGAGCGGCCAUGUUGGCACUUGAUCUUUGCUCCUGCUGGCUGUUGACACGAAUAAACAUUUGUCUUUUGACUUCA
Molecule: long non-coding RNA, 630 nt
Organism: Entelurus aequoreus (snake pipefish)
Lineage: Eukaryota; Metazoa; Chordata; Actinopteri; Syngnathiformes; Syngnathidae
Exons: 3
Source: RefSeq, a predicted model, not a curated record